Small nucleolar RNA from Danio aesculapii, 78 nucleotides. RefSeq annotates it as small nucleolar RNA SNORD49. The transcript has a single exon. Lineage: Eukaryota; Metazoa; Chordata; Actinopteri; Cypriniformes; Danionidae. The record is from RefSeq and is a predicted model, not a curated record.
UUCUGUGAUGAAAACGCUAUAUAGGAAGUGCCGUCUGAUGCGAUUAACUGACGAUGGCAAAGCAAACAUUUUCUGAGA